Molecule: long non-coding RNA, 390 nt
Filed under: Dromaius novaehollandiae (emu)
Lineage: Eukaryota; Metazoa; Chordata; Aves; Casuariiformes; Dromaiidae
Description: lncRNA (ENSDNVG00000007688.1)
Source: RNAcentral
GAGCCAGAUCCAAAAUGUUUUGAAAAGAAGAAGGAAUUCUCUUCAUUGGUUUCAGCAGACUUUGGAUCAGGCUUGUAACAGACAAAACUCUGAAUCUGAACAAACCAGCAAAGCAUAGAUCCCAACUUCAGAUUGUCAUCUGAGUCCUGUGGUUUUCCUAGCUUAGCCUGGCCUAUGUUAAGAGUGAUUUCAGGACAGCUGAUGAGCCCAAAGUGUUCCAUUACUUUGAGCAGUGAUUCUAAAUACUGUAUGACUAUUUUCUCAAGAUGACCAGCCCUCCCAUUCCUCUUCCUCGAGACAACCAAAAGGUCAAGUUCUUAUCAAGUACAUCAUCAGUGACCUGCAAAAUGACAAGAAAGCUGUCCUCAGUUACCUGUCUUAUACCAAACC